GCGCCCGUAGCUCAGCAGGACAGAGCAGCGGACUUCUAAUCCGCGGGUCGCAGGUUCGAAUCCUGCCGGGCGCGCCU
Molecule: transfer RNA, 77 nt
Filed under: uncultured Rubrobacteraceae bacterium
Lineage: Bacteria; Bacillati; Actinomycetota; Rubrobacteria; Rubrobacterales; Rubrobacteraceae
Description: tRNA-Arg-TCT
Rfam family: tRNA
About the family: Transfer RNA (tRNA) molecules are approximately 80 nucleotides in length. Their secondary structure includes four short double-helical elements and three loops (D, anti-codon, and T loops).
Source: RNAcentral